This is a long non-coding RNA of Rosa rugosa (rugosa rose), 738 nucleotides long. RefSeq lists it as uncharacterized. The transcript has 3 exons. The record is from RefSeq and is a predicted model, not a curated record. Lineage: Eukaryota; Viridiplantae; Streptophyta; Magnoliopsida; Rosales; Rosaceae.
AUAAUCUAAAGGGCGUGGACUGUUCAUUCGCGCUGCACUAUUCAUUCGCGUCGCACUGUUCAUUCGAGCCCGAAGUAAAUGACGCUUUUGCCCUUAAUUUUUUCUUAAAUUACAUCCCUGCCAUUCAGUCUGUUAUAAGCACCCGCCGACAGUAGAAUGCUAGAACUCCAGAAGGUUCAGGUUUUUUCGCUCUCUCGCUUCUCCUUAUCAACUUGACAGUGGUCCAGAUAAUAGCAACUGGAGGGUUUGAUUAGAUACGCGGCAAAUCUACCCUAAUCCCUCAGACCCAAGUCAAAAUCCACAUAAAAACCCAAAAAUCACUACCAAAAAAGAGUAACAGAGCAAGAGAGUUGUGAGCAACAAGAACAGUGUUGACGCCAUAGCUUCCAAAACAGAGCCGACCCAGAAGCUGGUCUUCUCAGACGAGUACAAAGCCACCAUCUUUGCUGCAGAACCAAGCUCAGAAGCACAGCCAACAAUGCAAAAAUCUCAGAGGUUAUAGAUGGUGCGAUCUGGAUUUGAUAAUCUGUGUUUCUUUCUUUUGGUAUUGUAUCCAGUAGUCUGCGUGUUGAGUAAUUGGGAGCAUCGCAAAAGCUUGUGUUUUGCGUUUUGAUUGGAUCCAGUUUGUGAUGAGACGAUUGGGUUUAGAACAAGUAGAACAGUCUUUGCAAAAUCUCAGACACUGCAACAGAAAAGAGAAGAAGGCAAAUUAGUUUGAUCUGCAAUUUCACAAGACUU